RNAcentral lists this ribosomal RNA (90 nucleotides) under uncultured bacterium. Its description in RNAcentral is "partial 16S ribosomal RNA". It matches the Rfam family "Bacterial small subunit ribosomal RNA", at positions 1393 to 1482 of the family's 1533-position model. The record is from RNAcentral.
CCCGUCACAUCACGAAAGUGAGUUGUACUAGAAGUCGCUAAGCUGACCGCAAGGAAGCAAGCGCCCAAGGUAUGACUCAUGAUUGGGGUG